This 253-nucleotide ribosomal RNA is filed under the name uncultured bacterium. RNAcentral describes it as "partial 16S ribosomal RNA". It matches the Rfam family "Bacterial small subunit ribosomal RNA", at positions 524 to 776 of the family's 1533-position model. The record is from RNAcentral.
UACAGAGGGUGCGAGCGUUGUUCGGAAUUACUGGGCGUAAAGCGUGCGCAGGCGGUUUGCUAAGACAGGUGUGAAAUCCCCGGGCUUAACCUGGGAACUGCGCUUGUUACUGGCAGGCUUGAGUGUGGCAGAGGGGGGUGGAAUUCCACGUGUAGCAGUGAAAUGCGUAGAGAUGUGGAGGAACACCGAUGGCGAAGGCAGCCCCCUGGGCUAACACUGACGCUCAUGCACGAAAGCGUGGGGAGCAAACAGG